ACGGAGGGGGCAAGCGUUAUUCGGAAUUAUUGGGCGUAAAGGGCGCGUAGGCGGUCUUUUAAGUCAGUGGUGAAAUCCCUCGGCUCAACCGAGGAACUGCCUCUGAAACUGAAAGACUUGAGACCGGGAGAGGGUGGUGGAAUUCCCAGUGUAGCGGUGAAAUGCGUAGAUAUUGGGAGGAACACCGGUGGCGAAGGCGGCCACCUGGACCGGUUCUGACGCUGAGGCGCGAAAGUGUGGGGAGCAAACAGG
Molecule: ribosomal RNA, 252 nt
Filed under: uncultured bacterium
Lineage: Bacteria
Description: partial 16S ribosomal RNA
Rfam family: Bacterial small subunit ribosomal RNA
Source: RNAcentral